AUUGAACGCUGGCGGCAUGCCUUACACAUGCAAGUCGAACGGUAACAGGUCUUCGGAUGCUGACGAGUGGCGAACGGGUGAGUAAUACAUCGGAACGUGCCCGAUCGUGGGGGAUAACGAAGCGAAAGCUUUGCUAAUACCGCAUAAGAUCUACGGAUGAAAGCAGGGGACCGCAAGGCCUUGCGCGAACGGAGCGGCCGAAGGCAGAUUAGGUAGUUGGUGGGAUAAAAGCUUACCAAGCCGACGAUCUGUAGCUGGUCUGAGAGGACGACCGGCCAGAAUGGGACUGAGCCACGGCCGGGGUUCCGACGGGAGGCAGCAGUGGGGAAUUUUGGACACUGGGCGAAAGCCUGCUCCAGCCAUACCGAGUGUAGGAUGAAGGCCUUCGGGUUUUAAACUACUUUUGUACAGAACGAAAAGGUUUCUACUAAUACUAGGAGCUCAUGACGGUACUGUAAGAAUAAGCACCGGCUAACUACGUGCCAGCCGCCGCCGUAA
This 498-nucleotide ribosomal RNA is filed under the name uncultured bacterium. RNAcentral describes it as "partial 16S ribosomal RNA". It matches the Rfam family "Bacterial small subunit ribosomal RNA", at positions 30 to 523 of the family's 1533-position model. The record is from RNAcentral.